GCUAACUUAGCUCAAUUGGCAGAGCAAUCGAUUUGUAAUCGAUAGGUUGUAGGUUCGAUUCCUAUAGUUAGCACCA
This 76-nucleotide transfer RNA is filed under the name bacterium. RNAcentral's name for it is "tRNA-Thr". It matches the Rfam family "tRNA". Rfam says of the family: Transfer RNA (tRNA) molecules are approximately 80 nucleotides in length. Their secondary structure includes four short double-helical elements and three loops (D, anti-codon, and T loops). Further hydrogen bonds mediate the characteristic L-shaped molecular structure. tRNAs have two regions of fundamental functional importance: the anti-codon, which is responsible for specific mRNA codon recognition, and the 3' end, to which the tRNAs corresponding amino acid is attached (by aminoacyl-tRNA synthetases). tRNAs cope with the degeneracy of the genetic code in two manners: having more than one tRNA (with a specific anti-codon) for a particular amino acid; and 'wobble' base-pairing, i.e. permitting non-standard base-pairing at the 3rd anti-codon position. RNAcentral also lists the same sequence under 1 other name. The record is from RNAcentral.